Molecule: ribosomal RNA, 466 nt
Filed under: Vreelandella stevensii
Lineage: Bacteria; Pseudomonadati; Pseudomonadota; Gammaproteobacteria; Oceanospirillales; Halomonadaceae
Description: partial 16S ribosomal RNA
Rfam family: Bacterial small subunit ribosomal RNA
Source: RNAcentral
CCUACGGGCGGCAGCAGUGGGGAAUAUUGGACAAUGGGGGGAACCCUGAUCCAGCCAUGCCGCGUGUGUGAAGAAGGCCCUCGGGUUGUAAAGCACUUUCAGUGAGGAAGAACGCCUGGUGGUUAAUACCCAUCAGGAAAGACAUCACUCACAGAAGAAGCACCGGCUCAACUCCGUGCCAGCAGCCGCGGUAAUACGGAGGGUGCGAGCGUUAAUCGGAAUUACUGGGCGUAAAGCGCGCGUAGGUGGCUUGAUAAGCCGGUUGUGAAAGCCCCGGGCUCAACCUGGGAACGGCAUCCGGAACUGUCAAGCUAGAGUGCAGGAGAGGGAGGUAAAAUUCCCGGUGGAGCGGUGAAAUGCGUAGGGGUCGGGAGGGAUACCAGUGGCGAAGGCGGCCUUCUGGACUGACACUGACACUGGGGUGCGAAAGCGUGGGUAGCAAACAGGAUUAGAUACCCCAGUAGUC